RNAcentral lists this ribosomal RNA (492 nucleotides) under uncultured bacterium. RNAcentral describes it as "partial 16S ribosomal RNA". It matches the Rfam family "Bacterial small subunit ribosomal RNA", at positions 29 to 507 of the family's 1533-position model. The record is from RNAcentral.
AGUGAACGCUGGCGGUAGGCCUAACACAUGCAAGUCGAACGGCAGCACAGUAAGAGCUUGCUCUUACGGGUGGCGAGUGGCGGACGGGUGAGGAAUACAUCGGAAUCUACUUUUUCGUGGGGGAUAACGUAGGGAAACUUACGCUAAUACCGCAUACGACCUACGGGUGAAAGCAUGGGAUCUUCGGACCUUGCGCGAUUGAAUGAGCCGAUGUCGGUUUAGCUAGUUGGCUGGGUAAAGGCCCACCAAGGCGACGAUCCGUAGCUGGUCUGAGAGGAUGAUCAGCCACACUGGAACUGAGACACGGUCCAGACUCAUACGGGAGGCAGCAGUGGGGAAUAUUGGACAAUGGGCGCAAGCCUGAUCCAGCCAUACCGCGUGGGUGAAGAAGGCCUUCGGGUUGUAAAGCCCUUUUGUUGGGAAAGAAAAGCAGCAGGUUAAUACCCCGCUGUUCUGACGGUACCCAAAGAAUAAGCACCGGCUAACUUCGUG